Molecule: ribosomal RNA, 474 nt
Filed under: uncultured bacterium
Lineage: Bacteria
Description: bacterial SSU rRNA
Rfam family: Bacterial small subunit ribosomal RNA
Source: RNAcentral
CGCUGGCGGCGUGCCUAACACAUGCAAGUCGAGCGAGAAUUUAGUAAUUGAUCCCUUCGGGGUGAUUUUACUAAAGGAAAGCGGCGAACGGGGUGAGUAACGCGUGAGCAACCUGUCUCAUACAGGGGGAUAACACUUGGAAACAGGUGCUAAUACCGCAUAAGACCACAGUGCCGCAUGACACAGGGGUCAAAGAAAUUCGGUAUGAGGUGGGCUCGCGUCUGAUUAGAUAGUUGGUGAGGUAACGGCUCACCAAGUCGACGAUCAGUAGCCGGCCUGAGAGGGUGAACGGCCACAUUGGGACUGAGACACGGCCCAAACUCCUACGGGAGGCAGCAGUGGGGAAUAUUGCACAAUGGGGGAAACCCUGAUGCAGCAACGCCGCGUGAGUGAAGAAGUAUUUCGGUAUGUAAAGCUCUAUCAGCAGGGAAGAAAAUGACGGUACCUGACUAAGAAGCCCCGGCUAACUACGUG